RNAcentral lists this ribosomal RNA (206 nucleotides) under uncultured bacterium. RNAcentral's name for it is "partial 16S ribosomal RNA". It matches the Rfam family "Bacterial small subunit ribosomal RNA", at positions 568 to 774 of the family's 1533-position model. The record is from RNAcentral.
CGCGUAGGCGGGGAUGCAAGUCAGAUGUGAAAUCUAUGGGCUUAACCCAUAAACUGCAUUUGAAACUGUAUCUCUUGAGUGUCGGAGAGGUAGACGGAAUUCCUAGUGUAGCGGUGAAAUGCGUAGAUAUUAGGAGGAACACCAGUGGCGAAGGCGGUCUACUGGACGAUAACUGACGCUGAGGCGCGAAAGCGUGGGAGCAAACA